Long non-coding RNA from Magnolia sinica, 241 nucleotides. RefSeq lists it as uncharacterized. The transcript is spliced from 2 exons. Lineage: Eukaryota; Viridiplantae; Streptophyta; Magnoliopsida; Magnoliales; Magnoliaceae. The record is from RefSeq and is a predicted model, not a curated record.
AAAUGUCUUUUGGUUUCAACCUGUGAAAUAGACCACUCUACUUUUAAUUCCUUAAUAUAAUUUCCAUGAAGGUGGGUAUUCUCACUUCUGGAUUACUCAUGAUUCACCCUUCAGUUCCUGCAAAAAGGCCAAUUGCAGUCAAGGAUGAGAUAGAUUGCAUGCCCUAUCCAACUACAGUCGAUUCGAUCAGUUCAUCAAGACUCAAGAAAGUAUUAAAAAAAAAAAAAAAAGAAAAAAAAAA